AAGAAGCCCCGGCUAACUACGUGCCAGCAGCCGCGGUAAUACGUAGGGGGCAAGCGUUAUCCGGAUUUACUGGGUGUAAAGGGAGCGUAGACGGAGCAGCAAGUCUGAUGUGAAAGGCAGGGGCUCAACCCCUGGACUGCAUUGGAAACUGUUGAUCUUGAGUACCGGAGAGGUAAGCGGAAUUCCUAGUGUAGCGGUGAAAUGCGUAGAUAUUAGGAGGAACACCAGUGGCGAAGGCGGCUUUCUGGUCGGUNUCUGUCGUUAAGGCUCGUUAGCGUGGGGUGCUCUCAAGAUUAGAUACCCUGGUUGUCCCACCCGUAAACGACCUAAACGGAGGUCGGGUGGCAGAGCCAUAUGGUGCCGCAGCAAACGCAGGAAGAAUUCCACCUGGGGAGUACGUUCGCAAGAAUGAAACUCAAAGGAAUUAACGGGGGCCCGCACAAGCGGUGGAGCCAGUGGUUUAAUUCGAAGCAACGCGAAGAACCUUCCCAAGUCUUGACAUCCCUCUGCCCGGUGAGUAACGUCACCUUUCCUUCGGGACAGAGGAGACAGGUGGUGCAUGGUUGUCGUCAGCUCGUGUCGUGAGAUGUUGGGUUAAGUCCCGCAACGAGCGCAACCCCUAUCCUUAGUAGCCAGCGGUUUGGCCGGGCACUCUGAGGAGACUGCCAGGGAUAACCUGGAGGAAGGCGGGGAGGACGUCAAAUCAUCAUGCCCCUUAUGAUUUGGGCUACACACGUGCUACAAUGGCGUAAACAAAGGGAAGCGAGAGUGUGAGCUUAAGCAAAUCCCAAAAAUAACGUCCCAGUUCGGACUGCAGUCUGCAACUCGACUGCGCGAAGCUGGAAUCGCUAGUAAUCGCGGAUCAGAAUGCCGCGGUGAAUACGUUCCCGGGUCUUGCACA
Molecule: ribosomal RNA, 901 nt
Filed under: uncultured bacterium
Lineage: Bacteria
Description: bacterial SSU rRNA
Rfam family: Bacterial small subunit ribosomal RNA
Source: RNAcentral